GGCACCAGGCCCCAAUAGCUGGCUCUUGACAAGCUCCCCUCCCCCCACCCCCCCUUCUUUGCAUACCAGUGUACCUUCAACAGAUGCUAAGAGCGGCCUCGGGCAUCCUGGUGUGCAGGCCCACGUUGUACAGAGAGGAACGAGGGAGGCUCAGAAGGGGUUGGGACCCCCUCCAGCUUGGCACGAGCUGUUGGUCCCGCGCCUCCCCCUGAUUCCCCUUUGCCCCCACCCCCCUCCAGGUACCGCCCUGUUCUCCAAAGACAAUGGGUCCAGAUCAGAGUCAGGCUGGUGUCAGUGCCUGGCACCCAAGGGGCUCACCUGGCAAAGGCCAGAAAGCUUGGAGAGGCAGCCUGGCAGCCACCGGAAGUCCCCAAGCCAAAACCAAAGCAGACAUGAAACCCUGCGUCUUCCAUGGACACAAGAGGGGGAAGCCAAACAAUGGAAAACGUAGCCGGCUGGGGAUGGGGUGGGUCCCAGCCUCCCCCUGCCCACCGUCCUCGAGGUGGACAAUAAAGAAAAGUGCAGGA
This is a long non-coding RNA of Neofelis nebulosa (Clouded leopard), 527 nucleotides long. RefSeq lists it as uncharacterized. NCBI's taxonomy places the organism in Eukaryota, Metazoa, Chordata, Mammalia, Carnivora, Felidae. The record is from RefSeq and is a predicted model, not a curated record. The transcript has 2 exons.